This 661-nucleotide long non-coding RNA is filed under the name Setaria viridis. Its description in RNAcentral is "long non-coding RNA (SVIR_LNC010484)". Lineage: Eukaryota; Viridiplantae; Streptophyta; Magnoliopsida; Poales; Poaceae. The record is from RNAcentral.
AUGCUAGCUCCGCCGCUGCCUUCAAACACAGCGGCGUGCCAAUACCCGGAUUUGCAGAAACGAUGCACGGACCUUAUUAUCCGACAACUGAGAGACAGGUGCUUUUGUAACACACCAUGACGAGUAGAGCCUUCACCGAACAAAUUAAAUAAUAGUUUCCUGACCGAUACAAUAUUUAGCAGAAUACAAAAGUAUAUGCAGCCAACGUUAUGUUUACUGACCGUAUUCUCAUUUCGCAACCCAUGCAGGUGCUCUAUUUUUCAAAAAGACAACUGUUACCCCAAAAGUGAUAUUUUUCCCACAGUAUUUUCUACGGGUCGACAGUUUGUGACAUUAUGUACAGUACGGAGUAUCUAUCACAUCCUACGUUUAUCGCUAACCCCUUGUUUACUUCACCCCUAACUCCCAACUUUAGCACUAUGCAAAAAGAAGAUUCCUCAUCACAUCAAACUUGCGGUACAUGCUGGAGUACUAAAUGUAGAUGAAAUUAAAAACUAAUUGCACAGUUUUGUUGUACUUUGCGAGACGAAUCUUUUGAGCCUAAUUAGUCAAUAUUUGGAUAAUAAUUCACAAAUACAAAUGAAACGCUGCAGUGUGCUACAGUACUGUAACAGUAAUUUGGCACCUCCCAAUUUUGCCAACUAAACGAGGCCUAAAUUUG